Molecule: ribosomal RNA, 442 nt
Filed under: uncultured bacterium
Lineage: Bacteria
Description: partial 16S ribosomal RNA
Rfam family: Bacterial small subunit ribosomal RNA
Source: RNAcentral
CCUACGGGAGGCAGCAGUGGGGAAUAUUGGGCAAUGGACGCAAGUCUGACCCAGCAACGCCGCGUGAAGGAAGAAGGCUUUCGGGUUGUAAACUUCUGUUAAGGGGGAAGAGCAGAAGACGGUACCCCUUGAAUAAGCCACGGCUAACUACGUGACAGCAGCCGCGGUAAUACGUAGGUGGCAAGCGUUGUCCGGAUUUACUGGGUGUAAAGGGCGGGCAGCCGGAGAUAUAAGGCAGAUGUGAAAGCCACGGGCUCAACCCUUGAAGUGCAUUUGAAACUGGUUCCCUGGAGUGUCGAAGAGGUAAGUGGAAUUCCUGGUGUAGCGGUGAAAUGCGUAGAUAUUAGGAAGAACACCAGUGGCGAAGGCGAAUUACUGGUCGAUAACUGACGGUGAGGCGCGAAAGCGUGGGGAGCAAACAGGAUUAGAUACCCCAGUAGUC